RNAcentral lists this transfer RNA (88 nucleotides) under Candidatus Peregrinibacteria bacterium. RNAcentral's name for it is "tRNA-Ser". It matches the Rfam family "tRNA". From Rfam's summary of the family: Transfer RNA (tRNA) molecules are approximately 80 nucleotides in length. Their secondary structure includes four short double-helical elements and three loops (D, anti-codon, and T loops). Further hydrogen bonds mediate the characteristic L-shaped molecular structure. tRNAs have two regions of fundamental functional importance: the anti-codon, which is responsible for specific mRNA codon recognition, and the 3' end, to which the tRNAs corresponding amino acid is attached (by aminoacyl-tRNA synthetases). tRNAs cope with the degeneracy of the genetic code in two manners: having more than one tRNA (with a specific anti-codon) for a particular amino acid; and 'wobble' base-pairing, i.e. permitting non-standard base-pairing at the 3rd anti-codon position. Lineage: Bacteria; Candidatus Peregrinibacteriota. The record is from RNAcentral.
GGAGAGGUGGCCGAGCGGUCGAAGGCGCACGCUUGGAAAGCGUGUGUGGGGCAACUCACCGGGGGUUCAAAUCCCCCUCUCUCCGCCA